This is a non-coding RNA of Daucus carota subsp. sativus, 107 nucleotides long. The record is from Rfam. NCBI's taxonomy places the organism in Eukaryota, Viridiplantae, Streptophyta, Magnoliopsida, Apiales, Apiaceae.
AUUCUAUGAUGGGGACACUUCCUAAGCAUCUCCUUGUAGCGUUCUCAAGCUUCACAUAAAGAUUCACUCAAUUGCUGAGAAAAUUUAGUAAGAGCACUCCUGAUAGC